Molecule: long non-coding RNA, 1540 nt
Filed under: Macaca fascicularis (crab-eating macaque)
Lineage: Eukaryota; Metazoa; Chordata; Mammalia; Primates; Cercopithecidae
Description: lncRNA (ENSMFAG00000056961.1)
Source: RNAcentral
GUACUACAGCAAGUAACAAGCAUUUCAGAUGAGACUUGGGCCCUGGCCCGCUUGUAGCCCAGGUGGUGCGGAGGUGAAGAGAUGCUGAACCGUGGGAACUGGCCAGGAGCACCCUGAUUGGCUGCCUGACUUAGGGGGCGGGGUCAAAUAACAAAAAAUCAUUUUGUUAGCUGAAAGCUAGUGUCUACCUAUGCACUAUGGUACACCAAAAAUCAUAAAGAAGAACAUUAAAGUAACCUGUAUCCUUGCAGCUCAAAGGUAAUCACAGUUAGGCACUUGGAAUAUUGUUUUACAAAAGUUGGCUGCAAUCGAUUACAUAUAAUUUUGAGUUCUGAUUUUCCACUUCCUACUUCCCAUGUCAGUGGAGGUCUUAGAAAUGUGACUUUUUUUGGUUUUGUUUUUGUUUUUGAGACAGAAUCUCACUCUGUCACCAGGCUGGAGUGCAGUGGUGCGACCUUGACUCACCGUAACCUCCGCCUCCUAGAUUCAAGCAAUUCUCCUGCUCAGCCUCCUGAGUAGCUGGGACUACAGGAACACACCACCACGCCCAGCUACUUUUUGUAUUUUUAGUAGAGAUGGGGUUUCACCAUGUUGGCCAGGACUGUCUUGAUCUCCUGACCUCGUGAUCCACCCGCCUUGGCCUCCCAAAGUGCUGGUAUUACAGGCAUGAGCCACCAUGCUUGACUCAGAAAUGUGAUUUUAAUGGCUGCAUAAUAUUUCAUCACAGGGACGUGAUAUAAUUCACCCAUUCCCCAACUCUGAACAAUUUCAAGUGUUUCUGUACUAUAACAAACACUGCUGCACACUUCCUUGUGUGUGAAUCGUUGUUUGUAUUUAUUAUUGCCACAGGUAGCCUGAGUGAUCUAUUUCUCCAGCUUGAAGUAAAAAUUAAUGUCACUUUUCCUUUGUUAUUCAUUAUUUCUGCCUAACCAUACCCUGCCAUUACUACCAGCAUCUCCCUGUGGGUGUCAAAAAGCACCCCAGAAGUUCACUCAAAGGAGUCAGUCAGGUGGAGAGAGGGAGAGAAUGCAGAGCUGAAAGCAUCCACUGGCACGAUCCUGAGAGUUGCUGGUACACAGUGUAGUCCCUGCCCUUCGAUGUCUGAACAGCUGGAAGCCUGUGUGCUGCAAUAUAGAUGCCUGUGCCCCAUCCCUUUGGGGGUCACACUGGGACCCACCUAAGUUCAGAUCACAGUUAUCUGUGUUCAAACUCAUGUUAUUCUCCAUUAAAAUCUGACUCCGGGCCGGGCGUGGUGGCUCACACCUGUAAUCUCAACACUUUUAAAGUUCAAGGAGGGAGGAUCAUUUGAGCCCAGGAGCUUGAGACCAGCCUGGGCAAUAUAGUGAGACUCCAUCUCUACAAAAAAUUAAAAAAUUAACUGGGCAUGGUGGCUCAUACCUGUAGUCCCAGCUACUUGGGAGGCUGAGGUGGGAGGAUCACUUGAGCCCAGGAGGUUGAGGCUGCAGUGAGCUGUGAUGGCACCACUGCACUCCAGCCUGGGGAAUAAAGCAAGAGCCUGUCUCAAAAAAAAAAAAAAAAA